RNAcentral lists this ribosomal RNA (439 nucleotides) under uncultured bacterium. RNAcentral's name for it is "partial 16S ribosomal RNA". It matches the Rfam family "Bacterial small subunit ribosomal RNA", at positions 339 to 795 of the family's 1533-position model. The record is from RNAcentral.
CUACGGGGCGCAGCAGUGAGGAAUAUUGCACAAUGGGGGGAACCCUGAUGCAGCAACGCCGCGUGGAGGAUGACGCAUUUCGGUGUGUAAACUCCUUUUAUAUGUCAAGAAAAUGACGGUAGCAUAUGAAUAAGCACCGGCUAACUCCGUGCCAGCAGCCGCGGUAAUACGGAGGGUGCAAGCGUUACUCGGAAUCACUGGGCGUAAAGGACGCGUAGGCGGGUUGGAAAGUCAGGUGUGAAAUCCUACAGCUUAACGUGAGAACUGCACUUGAAACUUCUAAUCUAGAGUAUGGGAGGGGGAGAUGGAAUUAGUGGUGUAGGGGUAAAAUCCGUAGAUAUCACUAGGAAUACCUAAAGCGAAGGCGAUCUCCUGGAACAUUACUGACGCUAAGGCGUGAAAGCGUGGGGAGCAAAUAGGAUUAGAUACCCGCGUAGUC